RNAcentral lists this ribosomal RNA (275 nucleotides) under uncultured bacterium. Its description in RNAcentral is "partial 16S ribosomal RNA". It matches the Rfam family "Bacterial small subunit ribosomal RNA", at positions 338 to 605 of the family's 1533-position model. The record is from RNAcentral.
CCUACGGGUGGCAGCAGUCAGGAAUAUUGGGCAAUGGGCGAAAGCCUGACCCAGCAACGCCGCGUGAAGGAUGAAGGCCUUCGGGUCGUAAACUUCUGUCGAGAGGGAAGAAUGUGUACGGGUGAAUAAUCCGUGCAUUUGACGGUACCUCCAAAGGAAGCACCGGCUAACUCCGUGCCAGCAGCCGCGGUAAUACGGAGGGUGCAAGCGUUGUUCGGAUUCAUUGGGCGUAAAGCGAGUGUAGGCGGUUUGACAAGUCGGAUGUGAAAUCCCGG